AGAGUUUGAUCAUGGCUCAGGAUGAACGCUGGCGGCGUGCCUAACACAUGCAAGUCGAACGGAUAUAUGUAAGCGGGCUUGCCUGCGAGCAUAUGUUAGUGGCGGACGGGUGAGUAACGCGUGGGCAACCUGCCCCAUACCGGGGGAUACCACCUGGAAACAGGUGCUAAUACCGCAUAAGCGCACACUGCCGCAUGGCAGAGUGUGAAAAACUCCGGUGGUAUGGGAUGGGCCCGCGUCUGAUUAGCCAGUUGGCGGGGUAGCGGCCCACCAAAGCGACGAUCAGUAGCCGGCCUGAGAGGGCGGACGGCCACAUUGGGACUGAGUCACGGCCCAAACUCCUACGGGAGGCAGCAGUGGGGAAUAUUGCACAAUGGGGGGAACCCUGAUGCAGCGACGCCGCGUGAGUGAAGAAGUAUUUCGGUAUGUAAAGCUCUAUCAGCAGGGAAGAAAGAGACGGUACCUGACUAAGAAGCCCCGGCUAACUACGUGCCAGCAGCCGCGGUAAUACGUAGGGGGCAAGCGUUAUCCGGAUUUACUGGGUGUAAAGGGAGCGUAGACGGUAAAGCAAGUCUGAAGUGAAAACCCAGGGCCCAACCGUGGGAUUGCUUUGGAAACUGUUGUACUGGAGUACGGGAGGGGCAGGCGGAAUUCCUAGUGUAGCGGUGAAAUGCGUAGAUAUUAGGAGGAACACCGGCGGCGAAGGCGGCCUGCUGGACCGUAACUGACGUUGAGGCUCGAAGGCGUGGGGAGCAAACAGGAUUAGAUACCCUGGUAGUCCACGCAGUAAACGAUGAUUA
RNAcentral lists this ribosomal RNA (800 nucleotides) under uncultured bacterium. RNAcentral describes it as "bacterial SSU rRNA". It matches the Rfam family "Bacterial small subunit ribosomal RNA", at positions 8 to 815 of the family's 1533-position model. The record is from RNAcentral.